AGUCGAGCGAACGGACGAGAAGCUUGCUUCUCUGAUGUUAGCGGCGGACGGGUGAGUAACACGUGGAUAACCUACCUAUAAGACUGGGAUAACUUCGGGAAACCGGAGCUAAUACCGGAUAAUAUUUUGAACCGCAUGGUUCACAAGUGAAAGACGGUCUUGCUGUCACUUAUAGAUGGAUCCGCGCUGCAUUAGCUAGUUGGUAAGGUAACGGCUUACCAAGGCAACGAUGCAUAGCCGACCUGAGAGGGUGAUCGGCCACACUGGAACUGAGACACGGUCCAGACUCCUACGGGAGGCAGCAGUAGGGAAUCUUCCGCAAUGGGCGAAAGCCUGACGGAGCAACGCCGCGUGAGUGAUGAAGGUCUUCGGAUCGUAAAACUCUGUUAUUAGGGAAGAACAUAUGUGUAAGUAACUGUGCACAUCUUGACGGUACCUAAUCAGAAAGCCACGGCUAACUACGUGCCAGCAGCCGCGGUAAUACGUAGGUGGCAAGCGUUAUCCGGAAUUAUUGGGCGUAAAGCGCGCGUAGGCGGUUUUUUAAGUCUGAUGUGAAAGCCCACGGCUCAACCGUGGAGGGUCAUUGGAAACUGGAAAACUUGAGUGCAGAAGAGGAAAGUGGAAUUCCAUGUGUAGCGGUGAAAUGCGCAGAGAUAUGGAGGAACACCAGUGGCGAAGGCGACUUUCUGGUCUGUA
This 696-nucleotide ribosomal RNA is filed under the name uncultured Staphylococcus sp. RNAcentral describes it as "bacterial SSU rRNA". It matches the Rfam family "Bacterial small subunit ribosomal RNA", at positions 60 to 738 of the family's 1533-position model. The record is from RNAcentral. Lineage: Bacteria; Bacillati; Bacillota; Bacilli; Caryophanales; Staphylococcaceae.